CUCUUUCAGAGCAAGGGCAUAGGAGCACCCUGGGCCCAAGGCCUCUCUAUUCCUUGAAACACAAUACUGAAAUUAGUCUAAUUAAUAACCUUACAAUGGCUUCAAAAUGUUUAAGUGAAAGGAAGAGUCACAUGUCUCUCAUUUUGAAUCAAAAGCUAUAAAUGGUUGAGUUUAGUGAGGAAGGCAUAUUGAAAUCUAAAACCAGCUGAAAGCUAAGCCUCUUAUGCCAGUUAUCUAAGUUGUGAAGGCAAAGAAAAAUUUCUGGAAGAAAUUAAAAGUGCUACUCCAGUGAUCACACAUCUGAUAAAAAAGUAGAGAUGCCUUAUCGAUGAUAUGGAGAAAGUUUUAGGGAUCUGCAUAGAUCAAACCAACCACAACACUCCCUGAAGCCAAAGCUUAAUUGAGAGCAAAGUUCUAACUCUCUUCAAUUCUCUGAAAGUUGAGAGAGGUGAGGAAGCUGCAGAAGAAAAGUUGGAUGCUAACAGAAGUUGGUUCAUGAGGUUUAAGGAAAAAAGCUGUCUCUAUAACAUAAAAGUGUAAGGUGAAGCAGCAAGUGCUGAUGUAAACCUGCAGCAAGUUAUCCAGAAGAUCUACCUAAGAUAAUUAAUGAAGGUGACUACACUAAACAACAGAUAUACAGUGUAGAUGAAACAGACUUAUUGGAAGAAAAUGUCAUCUAGGACUUUCAUAGCUAGAAAGGAGAAGUCAAUGCCUUGCUUCAAAGGACAGGCUGACUUCCCUGUUAGAGAUUAACACAGCUGGUGCCCUUAAGUGGAAGCCAAUGUUCAUUUACCAUGCUGAAAGUCCUAGGACCCUUAAGAAUUAUGCUAAAUCUACUCUAUAAAUGAAACAACAAUGCCUGGAUGACAACACAUGUAUUUACCAUAUGGUUUACUGAAUAUUUUAAGUCCACUGUUGAGACCUACUGCUCAGAAAAAAAAAAAAAGAUUCCUGUGAAAAUAUUACCUGCUCAUUGACAAUGCACCCAGUAACACAAAAGCUCUGACGGAGAUAUAAAAAGAGAUUAACGGGUUUUUCAUGCUUGCUAACACAGCAUCUAUUCAGCAAACCAGGGAUCAAGGAAGAAUUUUGACUUUCAAAUCUUAUUGUGUAAGAAAUACAUUUUUAAGACUAUAGCUCCCAUAGAUAGGUUCCUGUGAUGGAUUUUUGCAUAGUAAUUUGAAAACUUUCUGGAAAGGAUUAACCAUUCUAGAUGAUACUAAGGACAUUCAUGAUUCAUGGGAGGAGUUCAAAUUAUCAGCGUUAACAGCAGUUUGAAAAAAGUUGAUUCCAACACUCAUGGAUGACACUGCAGAUGUGGUGGAAAUAGCAAGAGAACUAGAGAACUAGAACUAGAAGUGGAGCCUGACGAUGCGAUUGAACUGUGCAAUCUCAUUAUCAAACCUGAACGGAUGAGGAGUUGCUUCCUAUGGAUGAACAAAGAAAGUGGUUUCUCCUGGUGAAGAUGCUGUGAACAUUGUUUACAUGACAACAAGGCAUUUUAAUAUUACAUACACUUAGUUGAUAAAGCAGUAGCAGAAUUUGAAAGGUUUGGCUCUAAUUUUGAAAGAAGUUCUAUUGUGUAUAAAAGGUUAUCAAACAUUAUCAUAAUUUACAGAGAAAUCUCUCAUGAAAGAGUCAAACCAUGUGGUGAACUUCAUUGAUGUCAUAUUUUAAGAAAUUGCCAGCCGCCCCAACUUUCAGCAACCACCACGCUGACUAGUCAGUAGCCAUAAACAUCAAGGCAAGACAAUCCACUAGCAAAAAGAUUGUGACUUGCUGAGGGCUCAAGUGAUUGUUAGCAUUCUCAAAUAAUAAAAUAUUUUCAGUUAAGGGAUGUAUAUUUUUUAGACAUAAUGCUAUUGCACACUUGAUGGGGUUACAGUAUUGUAUAAAUGCAACUUUUAUAUCUACUGGGAAACUAAAAAAUGUAUAUGUUAGUUACUUUAUUGUGAUAUUCAAUUUAUUGUGUUGGUCUGGAACCAAAGCUGCAGUAUCUCUAAGGUCUGUCUGUAUUGUUUCUGAUUGCAGUGGUUGGUGACACUAGAAAUCAAUAAAAGAAGGAUCAAAAUCACAAUAAGGUAUCAUCUCACCCCAUUUAGGAUGGCAAUUAUAAAAAUAAAGAAAUAACACGUGCUGGUAAGGAUGUGGAUAAAAGGGUACUCUUAGGUGCU
Molecule: long non-coding RNA, 2174 nt
Filed under: Homo sapiens (human)
Lineage: Eukaryota; Metazoa; Chordata; Mammalia; Primates; Hominidae
Description: HSALNT0375136
Source: RNAcentral